RNAcentral lists this ribosomal RNA (720 nucleotides) under Achromobacter xylosoxidans. RNAcentral's name for it is "bacterial SSU rRNA". It matches the Rfam family "Bacterial small subunit ribosomal RNA", at positions 741 to 1463 of the family's 1533-position model. The record is from RNAcentral. Lineage: Bacteria; Pseudomonadati; Pseudomonadota; Betaproteobacteria; Burkholderiales; Alcaligenaceae.
CUUCACUCAUGCAAGAAAGCGUGGGGAGCAGACAGGAUUAGAUGGUAGUGUAGUCCACGCCCUAACUCAUGUCAGCUAUCUGUUGGGUCCUUCGGGCCUUGGUAGCGCAGCUAACGCGUUAAGUUGCCCGGGUGGGGAGUACGCAAGCAAAAAUAUAACUCAAAGGAAUGGGGGGGCGCCCGCGCAAGCGGUCAAGGAUUUUAAUUAAUUCCAUCCAAAAGGAAAAACCUUACUUAUCCCAUCCAGGUAAGUUAUCAGGAAGAGAUUUGUCAGUUCUGGCAAUAGAACCCAGACACAGCAUGUCCAUGGUCAUCUUCAGUUCGUAUAGUGAGGGGUUAGUUUAACUACCACCGCGAGCCCUAUCCUUGUCAUUAAGUGAUUCGAUAGGGCACUCUAAGGAGACUGCCGGUGAUAAACCGGAGGAAGGUGGGGAUGACGUCAAGUCAUCAUGGCCCUUAUGGGUAGGGCUUCACACGUCAUACAAUGGCGGGACAAAGGGUCAGCCACCUCGCGAGGGCAACCAAUACUCAUAAACCGAUCGUAGUCCGGAUCGCAGUCUGCAACUCGACUGCGUGAAGUCGGAAUCGCUAGUAAUCGCUAGAUCAGCAUGUCGCGGUGAAUACGUUCCCGGGUCCUGUACACCCCGCCCCUCCCCCCCAUGGGAAUGGGUUUUCACAAGAAGUAAGUAACCUAACCGCUAAGGAGGCGACUACCCACGGU